AAAUAGAGGCGAACGGGUGAGUAAUACGUAAGCAACCUGCCCACGAAGACUGGGAUAAUCCCUGGAAACGGGGACUAAGACCGGAUAGGUACACAGACCGCAUGAUCUGUGUAUUAAAGGUGAGAGACACUGGUGGAUGGGCUUACGGUGCAUUAGCUGGAUGGUGAGGUAACGGCCCACCAUGGCGAUGAUGCAUAGCCGGGCUGAGAGGCUGAACGGCCACAUUGGGACUGAGACACGGCCCAGACUCC
RNAcentral lists this ribosomal RNA (251 nucleotides) under uncultured bacterium. Its description in RNAcentral is "partial 16S ribosomal RNA". It matches the Rfam family "Bacterial small subunit ribosomal RNA", at positions 90 to 339 of the family's 1533-position model. The record is from RNAcentral.